AUACGUAGGGUGCGAGCGUUGUCCGGAAUUACUGGGCGUAAAGAGCUCGUAGGUGGUUUGUCGCGUCGUCUGUGAAAUUCCGGGGCUUAACUCCGGGCGUGCAGGCGAUACGGGCAUAACUUGAGUACUGUAGGGGAGACUGGAAUUCCUGGUGUAGCGGUGAAAUGCGCAGAUAUCAGGAGGAACACCGGUGGCGAAGGCGGGUCUCUGGGCAGUAACUGACGCUGAGGAGCGAAAGCAUGGGUAGCGAACAGGAUUAGAUACCCUGGUAGUCCAUGCCGUAAACGGUGGGCGCUAGGUGUAGGGGUCUUCCACGACUUCUGUGCCGUAGCUAGCGCAUUAAGCGCCCCGCCUGGGGAGUACGGCCGCAAGGCUAAAACUCAAAGGAAUUGACGGGG
Molecule: ribosomal RNA, 398 nt
Filed under: uncultured bacterium
Lineage: Bacteria
Description: partial 16S ribosomal RNA
Rfam family: Bacterial small subunit ribosomal RNA
Source: RNAcentral